Molecule: small nucleolar RNA, 65 nt
Organism: Otolemur garnettii (small-eared galago)
Lineage: Eukaryota; Metazoa; Chordata; Mammalia; Primates; Galagidae
Source: Ensembl
UUUCUGUGAUGAAUCAAACUAGCUCAUUAUGAUUAACAAGGAAAAUACAGGAACGCCUGGGAAAC